CCAGUGGUGGUUCAGAGGCAGGAUCCUCACCUUCUAUGCAGGAGACCCGGGUUCGAUUCCCGGCCAGUGUA
RNAcentral lists this transfer RNA (71 nucleotides) under Loxodonta africana (African savanna elephant). It matches the Rfam family "tRNA". From Rfam's summary of the family: Transfer RNA (tRNA) molecules are approximately 80 nucleotides in length. Lineage: Eukaryota; Metazoa; Chordata; Mammalia; Proboscidea; Elephantidae. The record is from Rfam by way of RNAcentral.